UUUUUUAAUUGAAAACUAGUAUGAAGGGUUGGACGAAAUAUAAACUUUUUUAAAAAAACUUUUAGAAUUUUAUUUUUAAAUUAAAAAGUUUAAAUAGCCUUAAAAGACGAGAAGACCCUAUAGAGUUUUAUUAUUAUUUAAAUUUAUUUUAUUAAUAAUAUUUUUAAAUAUUAAAAAAUAAUAAUUUUAUUGGGGUGAUAUUAAAAUUUAAUAAACUUUUAGUUUUUUUUUCAAUUAUUAUUGUUUUUUUGAUCCAAAAUUUUUGAUUAAAAAUAAAAAUUACCUUAGGGAUAACAGCAUAAUUUUUUUUAAAAGUUCACAUUUAAAGAAAAGAUUAU
RNAcentral lists this ribosomal RNA (338 nucleotides) under Lestremia leucophaea. RNAcentral describes it as "partial 16S ribosomal RNA". Lineage: Eukaryota; Metazoa; Arthropoda; Insecta; Diptera; Cecidomyiidae. The record is from RNAcentral.